This 405-nucleotide ribosomal RNA is filed under the name uncultured bacterium. Its description in RNAcentral is "bacterial SSU rRNA". It matches the Rfam family "Bacterial small subunit ribosomal RNA", at positions 355 to 776 of the family's 1533-position model. The record is from RNAcentral.
UGGGGGAUAUUGCACAAUGGGGGGAACCCUGAUGCAGCGACGCCGCGUGGGCGAGGGAGCGCCUCGGCGCGUAAAGCCCUUUCGGCGGGGGAGAACGAUGACGGUACCCGACGAAGAAGCACCGGCUAAAUACGUGCCAGCAGCCGCGGUAAUACGUAUGGUGCGAGCGUUGUCCGGAUUUACUGGGCGUGAAGGGGGCGCAGGCGGCGCGCCAAGCCCGAUGUGAAAGCCCGGGGCCCAACCCCGGGACUGCAUUGGGAACUGGCGGGCUGGAGUGCCGGAGGGGCAGGCGGAAUUCCUGGUGUAGCGGUGAAAUGCGUAGAUAUCAGGAGGAACACCGGUGGCGAAGGCGGCCUGCUGGACGGAUACUGACGCUGAGGCCCGAAAGCGUGGGGAGCGAACAGG